AUCCCAGAUCAGAUGCCAAACCCAGUGUGGAUCGGACACCAUGACGAGUCCAAACCAAUCCAUGCUGGGCUUGGCAUCUGAUCUGGGA
RNAcentral lists this microRNA precursor (88 nucleotides) under Chlorocebus sabaeus (green monkey). RNAcentral's name for it is "miRNA (ENSCSAG00000026549.1)". Lineage: Eukaryota; Metazoa; Chordata; Mammalia; Primates; Cercopithecidae. The record is from RNAcentral.